UUCCGGUUGAUCCUGCCGGAGGCUACCGCUAUUGGAGUUCGAUUAAGCCAUGCGAGUCGCGAGUCUUAGGGACUCGGCAUACGGCUCAGUAACGCGUAGUCAACCUACCCUAUGGACGGGAAUAACCUCGGGAAACUGAGUAUAAUGCCCGAUAGAACAUUAUGCCUGGAAUGGUUUAUGUUCCAAAUGAUUUAUCGCCGUAGGAUGGGACUGCGGCCUAUCAGUUUGUUGGUGAGGUAAUGGCCCACCAAGACUAUUACAGGUACGGGCUCUGAGAGGAGUAGCCCGGAGAUGGGUACUGAGACAAGGACCCAGGCCCUAUGGGGCGCAGCAGGCGAGAAAACUUUGCAAUGUGCGAAAGCACGACAAGGUUAAUCCGAGUGAUUUCUGCUAAAGAAAUCUUUUGCAAGUCAUAAAACCACUAGUGAAUAAGGGGUGGGCAAGUUCUGGUGUCAGCCGCCGCGGUAAAACCAGCACCUCAAGUGGUCAGGAGGAUUAUUGGGCCUAAAGCAUCCGUAGCCGGCUCUGUAAGUUUUCGGUUAAAUCCAUGUGCUCAACGCAUGGGCUGCCGAAAAUACUGCAUAGCUAGGGAGUGGGAGAGGUAGACGGUACUCAGUAGGAAGGGGUAAAAUCCUUUGAUCUAUUGAUGACCACCUGUGGCGAAGGCGGUCUACCAGAACACGUUCGACGGUGAGGGAUGAAAGCUGGGGGAGCAAACCGGAUUAGAUACCCGGGUAGUCCCAGCUGUAAACGAUGCAGACUCGAUGAUGCAUUGGCAUAUAGCCAGUGCAGUGUCGCAGGGAAGCCGUUAAGUCUGCCGCCUGGGAAGUACGUACGCAAGUAUGAAACUUAAAGGAAUUGGCGGGGGAGCACCACAAGGGGUGAAGCCUGCGGUUCAAUUGGAGUCAACGCCGGG
Molecule: ribosomal RNA, 916 nt
Filed under: uncultured marine archaeon
Lineage: Archaea
Description: bacterial SSU rRNA
Rfam family: Archaeal small subunit ribosomal RNA
Source: RNAcentral